Long non-coding RNA from Oryza brachyantha (malo sina), 3527 nucleotides. RefSeq lists it as uncharacterized. The transcript is spliced from 5 exons. The record is from RefSeq and is a predicted model, not a curated record. NCBI's taxonomy places the organism in Eukaryota, Viridiplantae, Streptophyta, Magnoliopsida, Poales, Poaceae.
GCACGCAAUAAUCUCAGGAGGUCGGAAUGCAUUUUUUUCCCCCGGUUGCAAAGUAUUGCACUAAUCGUCGCCGAGAGCGAGCCCUAGUUCCUCAUUGUCUCGUCCUCGUCCAGUCCAGUGUGCGCCUCGCGCUUGCGAUCCCAUUGCCAACCGAGCCCGCCGCUGCGGAGGGGGCUGGUCGUUGCGAGGAGGAAGGGGGCUUUAUCCAUGGCGCGUCGCCCCGCUGCGAAGCAGCGCAACGGAUCCGGAUGGCGCUCCUCGCUGCUAGAAAAAGGCCACGGAUCCGCUCUCUGGUUGGUAUCAGGGAGUAUGUUUUUUAAUAAAAAAAAAUUAUUUCAAUCCUACAAUUCCCCUUGACUACUAUUACAAGUCUGUGUCCAGUUUAUUUUUAGUAUCAAACUAUCAAUUCCAAAGGGAAAUUCAGGAUUGGCAUGCAGGGCCAAUUAGACAGGUCAUUAGGAUCUAGGAUUGACUGGGCCAAUUAGAUAUUUGCUUAAGUGAAAAAAAUUGAAAGGUUUACUCAGAAGAAGAAAUCUGCUUGUUUUUAACACUACAGACCUUGUGCUUAACCUUUUUUUAAAUACUGAAUUGCAAUUUAUCAUAAGUUUGUUGCGUACUAUGUCCAUUUGUUCUUGUAAAAAUUGCGUAUGAACUCAAAAGGAAAAGAUAACCGAUAUGGUACUUGUGCUUCACAUUUGGAUUGUUGAAAUUGACUGUAAUCAGAAAAUAAUCUUGUUCAAGAAGCGGUUUCAUUAAAUUUCAGCUAGCCAUUGUCAAACUAAAUGCUGUGGUUAACUCUUCUUUCUAUGUCUCUGUAGCCUAUCCUACAUCAAGUACCUGUGCAGGUGCUAGGUAAUCAGAUCAAGAAUUUGCUGCAGUUUGCACUUUUACUACUAAUGGCAUCAUCAGUCGAGCAUCCCUUCCAUGCCACAAUAAGGAACCGAACACGUAAUCCCGGUGAGGCACAUCCACCCGGAAGUUAACCUUGAAAGUCUUCUUUGCACCAUAGUUCUCGAAGACUAGAACUUUUGGGGUCACCGUGACAUUGAUGCCCCGUGGAGCAGACACUACAGCAUGGUGCUGUUAUCUCUAGUUAUUAGGCGUAAGGAGUGGUCAUCAUAGCCUAUUGCACAGAGGAAUGACUUAUAAUCUUCAGAAUAUGCGUCAAAGAUUAUCCCUGGGUUAAGAGCUUUGAUGGGAUCUGCAAAGCCCGAACCAAAAUCGAAAGGGGUUGCUGUUCUUCCAUUAGGAUCGGUGGUUAUGGCAUUGCGUUUGUUGUCCAGUACAGUUGCUGCAAAUAGGAUUUGUCAGAUUGGUAGCUAAAUUGCUGUAUUUGACGAAUACGAUAUCAACUUGUACCUGUUGUCAUGAUUGCUGAUUUGAUUGCAGAAGGAGACCAUGAUGGAUAUGCACCUUUGACAAGAGCAGCUAUUCCUGCAACAUGGGGGCACGCCAUGGAAGUUCCAGAAAGGAUGUUGAAGUGCUUAUCCUCCUUAGCAGGAGACCAUGCUGCCAAUAUGUUCAGCCCAGGAGCACCAAUAUCUGGCUACAGAAUGCCGAAGUUUCUAGUAAACACAUCAGUAAAUAUAUGACCAGUAGUAUUGUUUUUUUCAAGUUUGGUUACCUUCAGAAUCUCUGGUGUCAAUGAAUUUGGACCUCUUGAAGAGAAGGCUGCCACCCUAGGGGCAUCUCUAGAACCUAAAAUCGUCUUCGCUGGUGAAAUUUGAUGGCGAGUUUGCCUCUCCACGCUGGCAUUUCCCUCUCCAUCUUGUAGGAACCGGAGACAUUCCAUGAUCUCUGAAACUAGGGGAUUCUGGCCAUAUUCCUGGGAGAAAGAGGCACAAGGCACACAGAUUCUGUGAAUUACUGGUCAAUAAAAAUCUCUCCAGUUUCUGUCAACCCAAUUUUAUUGCUUAUUUUUUAGGGUGAACAGACAACCAAUAUAAUUGAUGGAAGGGACCCUAUCAUAAUAGGAUUCUGGUGUCACAUGAUGCUUGGAAUGGACAUAACACAGCUAAAACUUCACAGUCCACACUACCUGAAAGAUGAAUACUGAAUAAUACACUUAUUGUAGUUUAUCUCACCUGUGUCAAUAAAUCCAAUAAUGACAUUCUCCUGGUUCUUGCUUGAUAAUUCAGGUACCUCAGCUGCUGUAUCGACGGACAAGCCCAUGAAAUCCCAUGAAUGAGUGGUGUGGAGACUCCUCUUUGCGUUUGGGAACACUGAGAUGACACCAGGCAUAUCUGCAGAAGUAUGUACCAGAGCUGAAACCAUGCAUCCAAUUAAUCAAGCUGCACAACAAGUCCAGAAGAUACGUUGAUGAAUAUCGGCAGCUGGUGAUGAACUCAUCUCAAACCUUCCGUCGUGAACAGCUGUCAGCAUCUGUUGAUGAAGCCUCAGCAUGUCAUGCCGAUCGUCACUGGUGCCCUGCAAUCCUUUGCCCAUGUAAACAACAUAAACCUGAAACCAACAUCCAUCAAGAAUGUGUUAAACCACUGGGAAGAGGUCAAGGAAGAAGAUAAACGCCAAGACAUAAGUGCAGGAGGUAGAGCACAGAGUGAAUGCAAGAAAGUAGAGUUGUGCAUGAUAGGAGAUGGACUACUGACACCAACCUGAGCACAUGAACAAGAGGAAAAGAAUUCUCCUAGUAACACCAGAGAGAGCACGAGGAAGAACAUACUGUCUCUGUCUCUGCCCUGCCAACAAGCCAUGUAUCACAAACACCCACACAUGCAGAGAUAGACAGACAGAAGGGAAUGAGGUUUUAGGUUUUUGAAUUGUAAGCCUGCAACCAUGCAUAUGGCCAGUUUCAUAUGGAAGAGUCUGCCUCGUGAAACUGCCAAGCUACACCACUACCAUAUUUCAGCUAUCUGAAUUGAGCAGCAUGGCAAGUUUAUGGGCAUGUUGGGAGAGCUUCUGGCAGUCACAGCUUCUCUCAGAAUCUCUAGCUCCCUAAACUAUAUAAAUUUUCGAAAAAAUAUUUUUAUAGAAUCUAGAAAAUGAACUAGGAGCCGAAAUGCUAUAAAACUCUUUUUUUCCAUAUUCUGACAAGCUCCCCAAAUAGGGCAUAUACUAUAUAAAGUCAUAAACCUUGGAGCUAGAGGGAUGCAAUGGCUGGCCUUUCAGAACACUUUUCCUGCUACUUCCCUCUUGUUAAACGAAACCGAGAUGGCAACAAGCAUAAAAUGAAGGUAAGCAUCAUGAUACCGUAUGGAGACCAGGCAGCUAAUCAGAGCAAUGACAUGCAGAACUCCUGCUUUUGGAUCCGAUAACAAUAAUAUUGCUGAUACAGAUACAGUGCCGAGAAGAUUGUUGUACCCAGAACGCAAGCCUCUGGGGAGAGUAUCUUGUCGUCAGACACACUCUUUUUUACCUUUUUCCUUUUGUAAAAGGCUAUACAUCUUGAAUACAGAAUACUCCACUUUGCUUUCAUGCCGUUGAGUUGCACAGUAGUAUAUAUGCAUCAGGGCAACAUAGUUUGGAUCUUGUCAGAUCAGCAGCUGGUGUGCAAACUAACGCACCAUAUU